Coturnix japonica (Japanese quail) is the source of this 4617-nucleotide long non-coding RNA. RefSeq lists it as uncharacterized. Lineage: Eukaryota; Metazoa; Chordata; Aves; Galliformes; Phasianidae. The record is from RefSeq and is a predicted model, not a curated record.
UCUCAGGCAAAUGAAAACAGCACAUGUAAGAAACUUUAGGACUUCCAUAACAAAGAAACUAAACGAAAGCAAGCAUUAUGAGAACCUUAGCAGGUAUCUACUGACAUAUGCAAGCAGGGCUUUCCCGACAAAACAGAACUGUGUGCUCUUGCUAUUGCCUAUAAAGAGUAGGAAAUUCUGGUGUAUGCACACUGCAGGUUCAUUUUCAUCCUUACAAAGACAACACUGAAUGAGGCCCUGCAACAAGUCAUUCGGAGGUAUUACUUCCUCCCACUUAUCCUGGUUCUUCUGCCCCGUAUUAAAGAACUGGGGAGGAGGGGGGAAGCAGAAGAGAGGACACUUACUGAAAAUUUACUUUGUCCACUUGAAACUUGGUUUCAAAAAUUCCUGAUGUCAAAACUCUGCAUCUGAGAAGAUCCUAGAGCAAAAAGGAGAGCAACUGAUUCAACAUAUACUUUAUAAUUCUUCAUGUAUCCACCAAGAAAAAGAAAACUUUUUACUUUGUUACAUCAUUUAUCAUAAAUCUCAGCUACAAAACACAAUGUUUUUAGUCAUCACCGUAAGCUAUGUGUAUUUGCCAGUGAUAAAACAUAGCACGCAUGCUAUGGUUGUAUAAAUCUGCACCAGUGGAGGUGAGCACUGUUUCAUAGGUGCUACGCUGGCACUGUUGCUAGGAAAAUAUUGUCCACAUAGUCCAUCUUUCAUCUGUAUGAACAGAUGGAAGUUGGACAGUGUCAAAUCCAACCUAUAUAGUGGGUGUGACAGGACAGUCCAGCCAAGACUGACAGCACGCUCCAUGGUCCUCAGACUGGUAUGGAAUGGAGUCUGCUAUUAUUGCGUUGCAUAGUAAAGGCUGUCUUCUUCAGAUGCAGUUCAAUGGUAAAAUACCACUCUGAAUUCACUUGAAGACUUUAUAACUUAGGACUUAAAGUUUGGUGUUCUCCACAGCAGAUCCGAACAGCCAAACUGUAAUAUCUGGAGUACGUAGGCAAGAUUGUAAAAUAGAACAGAUUAUACAAAAAUGUAUGUGCACAAUACAAGCUCUGUUCUUAGCACACAGGGAUCAGACUGGUUAGUCAAAGUCAAAACCACACAAAAUCCAAAGGUUAUACAACACUGUUAAAUCAUUAAACAAAGUGGCUACAUUUUAACAUCAGUAGUAAAUUAUUGUUGUCUGGCUAUUUUAAUACUCAUAUUGAAAUACAUAUAUUUAAAUAUUGCUCUCUCUUGAUCCCUGGGUUUCAAAUAGUUUGAAAAUUCUAAUGCUGUAAGACACAGAAACAAGUUUGGAAAAGCGCAUUCUCUGGAGUUCUGCACCACUAGAAACCAAAACAAGUGUGACAGGAAAACAGCCAACCAAAAUCCACUGCGUACCUCAGGAACAAAAAGAGCAAAAAUCUCUAGGAACCCAUGGGUGAAGUUUGACUGCAGUGUUGGCACAAGACUCAGACACCACAAACCAGACUUCAGAACUCAGCCCUGAUGCUUCCAGGCACCUUCAUCACCUGCCCCGUGCCAAGUAUGAGGCAGUAUGACACAGGCCCCAGACACCUUUUAUUUUCAUAUUAAUAGGAGAGUAGCUGGAAAUGCUUUCAGUUAACUUCACGGAUAACAUUAAUGAUUAAUGAGUCUUCAAACGAAUAUAUUUUAGUUUCCUUUUCAAUUCCUGUGCAUUUGUUUUAUGAAGCAGAAAUGACAGUGAAAGGGGAGUUUUUCCUCCUAAUCUCCAUACAAAGUACUUUGUUAACACCAGUUUCAGAAUCAUGUGGAGAUUUCAGAAGUUGGAUGAUGCCUCAAAAAUUUCACACAGAACAUUUCACACUCAUAAAGAUGUGGAGGUGAUCACUGCAACUUCUUGUACUGAACUCACCUAUGCAUAACACUUCAUGCAAGCUUCCACAAAAGACUAUUUUUAGGCCUAUGAUUUCCUUGAAAAAACAUCAGCCGUGUAGGAGAAGCAGUGCUGCACUUGAGAUGAAAUCCAACAGCAACGUUCAUGCCAGGUAAAACAAGUUGGAAUGGAAUAAAUGUAUCUUCUUCCCCCCAGAAAUGAGCUCCAACACUCACUAACAUCUGAUGCUUGUGACAAUACAAGUUCAAAAAGGAAGUCUUUCACCAUGUGAUAGUUACCAGUGAACCUACACGGCUCCUCAGUAGCAUUUGAAGGAAACUAAGCAAAGUAAUAAUGCUAAACGAACAUUUCCUCCUGUGUGUAUCCCUUUUAAUUAAAAAAUAAUCUGCUCUAUCAACUUUAGAAUGGGAUAAAGACAUUAAAAAGUUUGAUUUUUCUUUGCACGAACAUUAUAAAGAAGCAUCAUUCUCUCAGUUGAGCAACUGGAACAAUAAAUACAGUCUAAAAUAAGCAGCAGUAGUGGAGCACAAGAGUUCAGAAGAGUUCAAUACACUCUGUUCAGAGAUGUUUGUGUCAUUGUUAGUCAGGAGCGAAUAACUUAUCCAGUAAAUGAAACUAAUAAUCAAGUGAGGUGAGAACAAAAGCUUAAUUCAAAAUGAAAACAAAUUCGGCAUCAUUAAUUUUUAUUUUUAGCUCUUAUUAUGCUCUACCCAAAACAGAAGUACUACCUUGUGUGCUGAGUUCACUGCUGUCAGAUUGUGCUAAGCCUGCUGGAGAAAUGCCCAUCCACUGUGUCAGCAACGAAUUCACAGUGAGAAACAUGCAAGUGACCUUGGUGAAAUAACUCACACAAAACUACCAAACCAUGAAACCCAAUUUUAUACUGAGAGUAACUUUUGCACCAAGAUACAAAGUCCCAUUUUUUCUUCUUGGAUUUUUUUUGCAGAAAUUCUAUGGGAAAGCCGUUUUCCAGAACGCAAAUCAAUCAUUCAGCACUGCUGCCAAUUCUCACUUAGGGCCAGAUUCUGAACGUGACUAAGUAACAGUUACUACCCUGCAAAACCCUGACACGCAGGAUGGGAGCUUCUGUCUGUACCACUUAUUAAAAGAAAAUACAAUUACUGCUAUGCUGCCAAGAGAUGUGUUAAUAAAAGAGAUUCCAGGUCAUCUGUAGCCAGCAACGCUGCCGAGGAAGCAGCGCUAGGACAGCAGCAGAUGCGUCCCUGGGAUAUUAAAAUGCAAGAUAUUAAUAAAAAUGUAAACAACCCGAAAUUAAAGCCACAUUUUAUUUUUGGAUCCUUUUCCUCAUCUCAGGGAGAGAAACAGACAAAUGAGACUUUGGACAAUGAGACUUUGGACACACAGCUUUGUAAGAAUCCAGUUCUGCUAAUUGCACGGGAUGUGCUCGGAAAGCAGGACUCACACGGGCACACAGAAGCUUUCUUUAGCUCCCCCGUAAUGUAAUUAAGUCAUACUCAUACCACCAAUUAUUUCAAAUUUUUAGCAAGUUUAUUACGCCAAAACUGCAUCCCAGUUUUCCCUUCAGUUAUGGAGCUUUUCUCAUAUAGGAACAAGUGCCCCGGUUUUGCUUUAUUCCUCUUUGGGGGGAGCUUCCUGAACCACCAAUGCUGCCGCAAGACCAAGAGCUGCAGCGUGCGCUGGAAAGGCUCGUAACACAUUGAAACCUCAGCCUCUGGAAACAGCAAACUUCCCCACACGGGGAAGAACGGGGAAGGGGAAAUCAGAGCACCUUUCCUUGUGCAUUUCCUGACAGUCUUCUCAAUACAGAAUAACCCGACGUUCCAGCCUUUGUGAUUUGAUGAAAUGGUUGACAGGCAAAAACAAAACUUGCUCUGUCAGGAUGGGGUUUUGUUUUCAGCCUACGGUAACAACAGAAAUGUCUCUUCAAUCUGACAACACACCUAUACUCAAAAAGCUGCAUUUCCAUCAGCUUCUUUUUUCUGUCAACAUAACCUGAAUUUGUAUACAAAACGUCUCUUCUGAGACAUACUAAGAUCCCAUCUUUAGUGCUGGUAGACGCUGCACAUAAAUUCAGAUUCUCAAAGCCAACUAAACAGAACAUUUGUUUGUAAGUUCCUUCCCCCCGCAGCAGUACGGAAUGCUGCCUUUGUGAAGCUUCUUGCCUCUGACAGCCUUGAGAUACUCUACAGACAGGAAAUCACACUCACAAGUUCUGCCAGCCUUAAUUCCCACUGCACUUUCUGCAUCUACCAUUGCAUCCCAAAAUGCACAUCUUAGAUUCAUCUCAUCUUAAAGACAGAGGAAAGGGGUGGGGAAAAAAAGACCAACAAAAAAACCCAAGGCACACGUGGAGUCUGUCAGUUGCCCAGAGUCCCUCAAGUCAGUGGAAAUGGAAUUUUCACUUCCUCUGAGUCAUGCGUUUCUAUCAAGAUAUUACUAAGAAUUACCCGCACUCACAUCUACCCUGAUCACCUUUAAAGCAGCCUUUACAACUCACACUUCUACUUCUGAAAAUAAAUUGGUAUUUGUUCACUGAUCUUCCUAAAGAACCAACUGUACAAACGAGGGGCAGAUUUUUAUUAUUUAUUUACACUCUCUCAGGGGCUCCAGAACGGAUCCCAAGCUCUCUCAAAGCUGAAGUUUACCUCAAUAUUAAUAGUGUUUAUAAAACAAGAGCACAUUUUUAAUUUCUCAGAACAGAACAUGCUUAGUUCUACUACACUCCCUUUUUAGUCUUUGCCAUACUCCACGAUGUGCCUAGAGAACGGCUUUCUAAAUGCUCA